AACGCUAGCUACAGGCUUAACACAUGCAAGUCGAGGGGCAGCAUGGUCUUAGCUUGCUAAGGCCGAUGGCGACCGGCGCACGGGUGAGUAACACGUAUCCAACCUGCCGUCUACUCUUGGACAGCCUUCUGAAAGGAAGAUUAAUACAAGAUGGCAUCAUGAGUCCACAUGUUCACAUGAUUAAAGGUAUUCCGGCAGACGAUGGGGAUGCGUUCCAUUAGAUAGUAGGCGGGGUAACGGCCCACCUAGUCUUCGAUGGAUAGGGGUUCUGAGAGGAAGGUCCCCCACAUUGGAACUGAGACACGGUCCAAACUCCUACGGGAGGCAGCAGUGAGGAAUAUUGGUCAAUGGGCGAGAGCCUGAACCAGCCAAGUAGCGUGAAGGAUGACUGCCCUAUGGGUUGUAAACUUCUUUUAUAAAGGAAUAAAGUCGGGUAUGGAUACCCGUUUGCAUGUACUUUAUGAAUAAGGAUCGGCUAACUCCGUGCCAGCAGCCGCGGUAAUACGGAGGAUCCGAGCGUUAUCCGGAUUUAUUGGGUUUAAAGGGAGCGUAGAUGGAUGUUUAAGUCAGUUGUGAAAGUUUGCGGCUCAACCGUAAAAUUGCAGUUGAUACUGGAUAUCUUGAGUGCAGUUGAGGCAGGCGGAAUUCGUGGUGUAGCGGUGAAAUGCUUAGAUAUCACGAAAAACUCCGAUUGCGAAGGCAGCCUGCUAAGCUGCAACUGACAUUGAGGCUCGAAAGUGUGGGUAUCAAACAGGAAUUAGAUACCCUGGUAGUCCACACGGUAAACGAUGAAUACUCGCUGUUUGCGAUAUACAGCAAGCGGCCAAGCAAAAGCGUUAAGUAUUCCACCUGGGGAGUACGCCGGCAACGGUGAAACUCAAAGGAAUUGACGGGGGCCCGCACAAGCGGAGGAACAUGUGGUUUAAUUCGAUGAUACGCGAGGAACCUUACCCGGGCUUAAAUUGCAGAUGAAUUACGGUGAAAGCCGUAAGCCGCAAGGCAUCUGUGAAGGUGCUGCAUGGUUGUCGUCAGCUCGUGCCGUGAGGUGUCGGCUUAAGUGCCAUAACGAGCGCAACCCUUGUUGUCAGUUACUAACAGGUUCCGCUGAGGACUCUGACAAGACUGCCAUCGUAAGAUGUGAGGAAGGUGGGGAUGACGUCAAAUCAGCACGGCCCUUACGUCCGGGGCUACACACGUGUUACAAUGGGGGGUACAGAGGGCCGCUACCACGCGAGUGGAUGCCAAUCCCAAAAACCUCUCUCAGUUCGGACUGGAGUCUGCAACCCGACUCCACGAAGCUGGAUUCGCUAGUAAUCGCGCAUCAGCCACGGCGCGGUGAAUACGUUCCCGGGCCUUGUACACACCGCCCGUCAAGCCAUGGGAGCCGGGGGUACCUGAAGUGCGUAACCGCGAGGAGCGCCCUAGGGUAAAACUGGUGACUG
RNAcentral lists this ribosomal RNA (1442 nucleotides) under uncultured organism. RNAcentral describes it as "SSU rRNA". It matches the Rfam family "Bacterial small subunit ribosomal RNA". The record is from RNAcentral.